CCUACGGGGUGCAGCAGUGAGGAAUAUUGGUCAAUGGCCGAGAGGCUGAACCAGCCAAGUCGCGUGAGGGAAGAAUGUCCUAAGGAUUGUAAACCUCUUUUGUCGGGGAGCAAAAAGGCUCUGCGGAGUCGUAUUGAGAGUACCCGAAGAAAAAGCAUCGGCUAACUCCGUGCCAGCAGCCGCGGUAAUACGGAGGAUGCGAGCGUUAUCCGGAUUUAUUGGGUUUAAAGGGUGCGUAGGCGGAAUAUCAAGUCAGCGGUAAAAAUUCGGGGCUCAACCCCGUCGUGCCGUUGAAACUGAUGUUCUUGAGUGGGCGAGAAGUAUGCGGAAUGCGUGGUGUAGCGGUGAAAUGCAUAGAUAUCACGCAGAACUCCGAUUGCGAAGGCAGCAUACCGGCGCCCAACUGACGCUGAAGCACGAAAGCGUGGGUAUCGAACAGGAUUAGAUACCCCUGUAGUC
This 459-nucleotide ribosomal RNA is filed under the name uncultured bacterium. RNAcentral's name for it is "partial 16S ribosomal RNA". It matches the Rfam family "Bacterial small subunit ribosomal RNA", at positions 338 to 795 of the family's 1533-position model. The record is from RNAcentral.